CUGUACUGAAACUUUAUCAUAACUUUUAAAAUCAGGUACCGUUGUGAAUUAUACCUGUAGUGAAACCAACGAUGGUGAAUAUGUCCUACUACUGUUUCCAGGCUUCAAUAUACUUUUAGGUUUGUUGAAUUUGUUUUAUUUCUCUAAUUGGAGAAUAAAGUAUUUAAAUACAAAGAGCACCGAAGGAUCUCUAGAAUUACAUUGAAACUGUGAAGAAAAACAACCUAGGUAUUAUAUAUUGAUUAAAUGGCUGCGGUAACACUGUAACAAAAUUUUAUCCAAAGUGUCUCAUUAAACUAUUUUUCUCACUUUUGCUGCUACACCAUUUUAACUUUGUUACACUUUAUCUUCCGUUAAUAAUAACAAUGUAUAGUGUUAAAUUUUUAUUCUGAAAGAGGGACAAU
This is a long non-coding RNA of Eurytemora carolleeae, 404 nucleotides long. RefSeq lists it as uncharacterized. The record is from RefSeq and is a predicted model, not a curated record. Lineage: Eukaryota; Metazoa; Arthropoda; Copepoda; Calanoida; Temoridae. The transcript is spliced from 3 exons.